AUCUUUUGAUUAAAUCUUAAAGAAGGUAUAGUGUUAACUUAUUUUGUAUAGCAGAAAUUGCAUCAUGAAGAAUGAAUAUAAAACAGAAUUAAUUGCAUAUUUACCUUAUUUCUUUGGUUGUACCUUUCAUCAUUAUGAUGCAGUCGAUUUCUUUGACGUGAACAGCUUUGCAAUCUAGCUUCAUGCGUUUGUUAUUUUUCUUUCUGUCGAUAAUUUGUUUCCUCUUCAUCCGAGCUUUUGCAGGUCCAUUGUUUUGUAGAUCCUCUUCUGAGUCACUAAAAUUUAUUUCAAUUGAUUAGUCAUGUCGUGAUUUAGAUGAUAAUUGUAUUUUAAAGACUUUACCUUCCAUUAUCGUGAUUUAUUUUUUCCUGAAAACUUGUGAAAUUCAGUUGUAAGUAAUCACGUAAAAUAUAUUGCAGAUUGAAUGUGGUGUCAAAAGAGGAGAAUUGAAAUAGUGUAACCAAGUUUUUACCUUGUUUCUUUCGUGUAAUUGUAUUUUUGCUCUCUUUGAUCGAUAGUCUGUAGCCCUGAAAGAUUGAUGUAGCCUGUGUUCUUUAUCCAUAAUGUAGGACGUUAUGAAGUCUGUGAAGAAAGCACGUAUGAUUUGUAGACUUAGAAUAACAAAAUCAUGAUAUUAUGUACCUAAUACGCUAUUCUUUAGAGAAGUUAUUAUGUACCUAAUACUAUUUAUUGCAUUUGCAUGAUUGGACUUAAUGGUCUGUAGGUUAUGUUAGCUGCUGCAGUUCCUACUACUCAAUGAUUGGUGAUCUAGAGCAGUAUGAUCUUGUAUUUUGUUUUGUCCUGAAACUAAUAUUUGCCAAUUAUUCCUGCUUUUGCUUAAAUUUCAUACAUAUUACCCCCAAUUAGUAUUUUGCAAUAAUAUUUUCUAAAAAUGUUUUAAAUUACAACAGCUAAAUUAUGUAAUGUUGGGUGAUCUAGUUAGAAUUAACACAUGUCUCCAAUUGAAUCAUCUGGACAAUAUGAAACGUCAUAAGCUACCCAUCCUUCAUAUAAAUAUCUGUAUAUUAUUUUAAGGAUUAGAAAAAAAGCACAGAGGAAAGCACCUGUCAGGUUUUUUGGAUGAAGAUAUUUGAUCAUAUCUGUCCUGCUAGAUUCUUUAUGGUUAAUAUUUCAUUUGAUUCUUCAGAUCAGGUAUUAAUGCUAAAUAUCUGCAUAUUAUUUUAAGGGUAGUGAAGGUUUAAUGUUGUAUUGAUAAAUAAAAUAAAAUGAACAUAUAUGACUGUAGUGAAUGUAUAUUUUACAUAUAUUGACUCAAAAAGAUAUGAAAUAAAGGGCACUGCAUUAUUAAUGCCUUUGUAGGAAACAAUUAGGAGAAACAUGUUGAUUCAUCCUCAAGAAAACACGCAAUGGAUAGAAGACGAAAGCACCUGUUAGAUCUUUGGGUGUACAAAAGUAGAAGAUGAAAGCACUUGUCAGAAAAGUAGAAUACUAAAGCAUCUGACAGAAAAGUAGAAUACUAAAGCAUCUGAUAGAUUAAUACUACACGAAUCUGCUUGAUGUACCUGCCCUGUUUGAUGUCCCUGCCUGUCAGAUCACCUGACAGAUUGAAACUGGACAAUGCCUGAUGUCCCUGACCUGCCAGAUUCUUUUGGUGAAGAAGUCUUAUCGUUGUAUAUAUUAAGGUGUUUUAUAUUCGAUUCGGAGUAGAAUACUGACCUGUCAGAUAACCUGACAUAUUUAUUUGGUGAAGAAGUCUUAUCGCUGUAUAUAUUAAGGUGUUCUAUAUUCGAUUCAGAGUAGAAUAUUGCCCUGUCAGAUAACCUGACAUAUUCUUUUGGUGAAAAAGUCUUAUCGUUGUAUAUAUUAAGGUUUCUUUUGGUGAAGUCGUUGUAUAUAUUAAGGUUUUUUUUGGUGAAAAAGUCUCAUCGCUGUAUAUAUUAAGAUGUUCUAUAUUUUGUUUUAUUAUUCUCUGUUCUGGCCAUGUUUUUGUUCAAGUUAUUGGUGCUAUGGAAGGACAACCUGUACUUUUAGUCUCUUUGACCGAUCAUUUCAGGUGAUAUGUUUGAUUUGUUUCUUUUUCUUCUUUUUUAUGCUGGUUAUUCUGUUCUAGUUAGGGUUCGAAUGGGAUUUUUUUAAAAUGAAAUCUCGUCUUCAAUCGCGUGGAAUAAUGGAGUCGAUCUCAUUUGGAGAUUCCAUAGUUGAUCUCCUGGAAGGAACCUUUGAACAGAAGAAUGGAUUGCUAUAUGGAUGGGGAAAAGUCAGAGGCAAUAACAUAUAAGGUGGAGGGGAAAAUAGGGGUUUUUGCAACACUAAGCAUAUUUGGCGAAAUUCCAGUGUGCAACAGUGCAUAGUUUUAGCAGAGCUGCAGAACUGAAUAAGUUGCUUUGUGAGUGCAACUUCACUUCAAUCUGUAUCCAUUCUGGAAUGACCCAGGAAGAAAGAUCACUUGCGUUCGGAUCGCCCGUGAUAGCACCGUGCAUUUUAUCUCGAAACGCAGGGGAUUUAGUUCCUGGAGCUUGUUCAUCAGUGAACAUAUGUAACAGAGAAAGAAAAGCCGACGCACACUGAUUCGCCUAUCAGCUUUAAUGGCUUCCGAAGCUGUUGACUAAUCCCUCGUGAUCUUUAGGAAGGGCAACUGUAGCUUGGCCGCAUGGUUGCCAAUGAAAAGGCUGUUAGGAUUGGGCGCCAUUUGAGGAACAUGGUACAGUUGCAGAGGUCGCGCCUCCCAAGCUCGCAACCACUCUGCACUUCAGUUGCCUUGGCGCACUCCAUGCAAUUUCGCUCGUUGUGCUCGUUUGGAUGCUUGCAUUCUGGC
Molecule: long non-coding RNA, 2776 nt
Organism: Phragmites australis (common reed)
Lineage: Eukaryota; Viridiplantae; Streptophyta; Magnoliopsida; Poales; Poaceae
Exons: 4
Source: RefSeq, a predicted model, not a curated record